GGAUUAUCUUUAAGGGGGCUUGUGGGGCUGAGAACCAAGAGUUCUUAACACUAUGACCAAAGCUUUCAAGUUCUCCUCAUAAUGCUAGAGUCACUCAGUGGUGCUGUGUCUCUGGGGAGAUAAAAGA
This 127-nucleotide small nucleolar RNA is filed under the name Nannospalax galili (Upper Galilee mountains blind mole rat). Its description in RNAcentral is "Small nucleolar RNA SNORA25 (ENSNGAG00000002796.1)". The record is from RNAcentral. Lineage: Eukaryota; Metazoa; Chordata; Mammalia; Rodentia; Spalacidae.